RNAcentral lists this transfer RNA (72 nucleotides) under Trichonephila inaurata madagascariensis. It matches the Rfam family "tRNA". From Rfam's summary of the family: Transfer RNA (tRNA) molecules are approximately 80 nucleotides in length. Their secondary structure includes four short double-helical elements and three loops (D, anti-codon, and T loops). The record is from Rfam by way of RNAcentral. Lineage: Eukaryota; Metazoa; Arthropoda; Arachnida; Araneae; Nephilidae.
ACCACUAUAGCUCAGUGGCUAGAGCGUUGGUCUCGUAAACCAAAGGUCGAAGUACGAAUCUUACUGGCGGCA